GGUUCGAUCUGGCUCAGAUUGAACGCUGGCGGGAUGCUUUACACAUGCAAGUCGAACGGCAGCACGGACUUCGGUCUGGUGGCGAGUGGCAGCGGGCUGUGAUAAUGUAUCGGAACGUGCCUAGUAGCGGGGGAUAACUACGCGAAAGCGUAGCUAAUACCGCAUACGCCCUUCGGGGAAAGCGGGGGACCUUCGGGCCUCGCACUAUUAGAGCAGCCGAUAUCGGAUUAGCUAGUUGGUGGGGUAACGGCUCACCAAGGCGACGAUCCGUAGCUGGUUUGAGAGGACGACCAGCCACACUGGGACUGAGACACGGCCCAGACUCCUACGGGAGGCAGCAGUGGGAAUUUUGGACAAUGGGGAAACCCUGAUCCAGCCAUCCCGCGUGUGCGAUGAAGGCCUUCGGGUUGUAAAGUACUUUUGGCAGGAAAGAAACGGCACGGGAUAAUACCCCGUGCAACUGACGGUACCUGCAGAAUAAGCACCGGCUAACUACGUGCCAGCAGCCGCGGUAAUACAUAAGUGCAAGCGUUAAUCGGAAUUACUGGGCGUAAAGCGUGCGCAGGCGGUUCGGAAAAGAUGUGAAAUCCCAGAGCUUAACUUUGGAACUGCAUUUUAACUACCGAGCUAGAGUGUGUCAGAGGAGGUGGAAUUCCGCGUGUAGCAGUGAAAUGCGUAGAUAUGCGGAGGAACACCGAUGGCGAAGGCAGCCUCCUGGGAUAACACUGACGCUCAUGCACGAAAGCGUGGGGAGCAAACAGGAUUAGAUACCCUGGUAGUCCACGCCUAAACGAUGUCAACUAGCUGUUAUUUGGGGCCUUCGGGCCUUGGUAGCGCAGCUAACGCGUGAAGUUGACCGCCUGGGGGUACGGUCGCAAGAUUAAAACUCAAAGGAAUUGACGGGGACCCGCACAAGCAGUGGAUGAUGUGGAUUAAUUCGAUGCAACGCGAAAAACCUUACCUACCCUUGACAUGUCUGCCGGAAUCCCGAAGAGAUUUGGGAGUGCUCGCAAGAGAACCGGAACACAGGUGCUGCAUGGCUGUCGUCAGCUCGUGAGGAUGUUGGGUUAAGUCCCGCAACGAGCUAGCCCUUGUCAUUAGUUUAUACGAAAGGGCACUCUAAUGAGACUGCCGGUGACAAACCCGGAGGAAGGUGGGGAUGACGUCAAGUCCUCAUGGCCCUUAUGGGUAGGGCUUCACACGUCAUACAAUGGUCGGGACGGGGGGUCGCCAACCCGCGAGGGGGAGCCAAUCCCAGACCCGAUCGUAGUCGGAUCGCAGUCUGCAACUCGACUGUGUGAAGUCGGAAUCGCUAGUAAUCGCGAAUCAGCAUGUCGCGGUGAAUACGUUCCGGAAUGUGGCACACACCGCCCGUCACACCAUGGGAGUGGGUUUACCAGAAGUAGUUAGCCUAACCGUAAGGAGGGCGAUUACCACGGUAGGAUUCAUGACUGGGGUGAAGUCGUAACAAGGUAA
This 1476-nucleotide ribosomal RNA is filed under the name uncultured Bordetella sp. RNAcentral describes it as "partial 16S-23S ribosomal RNA intergenic spacer". It matches the Rfam family "Bacterial small subunit ribosomal RNA". Lineage: Bacteria; Pseudomonadati; Pseudomonadota; Betaproteobacteria; Burkholderiales; Alcaligenaceae. The record is from RNAcentral.